Molecule: long non-coding RNA, 655 nt
Filed under: Sorghum bicolor (sorghum)
Lineage: Eukaryota; Viridiplantae; Streptophyta; Magnoliopsida; Poales; Poaceae
Description: long non-coding RNA (SBIC_LNC015813)
Source: RNAcentral
UCAAGAACCAAUCCUUCCAUCCUACAGUGGGUCUGGGCCAGGAGCGAAAAGUGUCCUUCCACAGAUCUAAGGAAAAGUUUUCGGCUCUAAAAGGGAUCAUGUUUGUUUCUGCGUUAAUCAAAUCUGUGGGAUCUGGAUUCCCUAAUGGACCAAGGCAUUGGAGGUGCGGUUGAUCGGUAGGGAUGAUUAGUUUGUUGGACAGAUCCUAUUGGUUUUAGGGAUGAAAAGAAGGAUAAGAGCAAAAAGAAAGAAAAAGAAAAAGAUGUUCAAUGAAAUAAAUUACAGACGAACAGGAAUGUGGGAAAAAGCACAAGAGAUGGAAUGAAGAACUAACCUCAGGGACGGUGAAGUUGAUGGCCAUCUCUUCACGAAGAGGAUGAUCGAGGGCUUCGGAGUUGGAGGAGAAAAGGCUUUGUUGGAGAUCUCGGAGCUCUCGAACAGCGCCGCCGCCGGGAAAGUGGAGCUGGAGCUGUAGAAUGAUGUGAUGGGGAAGGAGUACCCGAGAACGAACUAUUUAUAGGACAAAACGGGCAAGGGCAAAUCUGACUUAUCUCUUCGCCGUAUCCGUGAAAUCCGAGGGUGCUCAGGUGGAUAUGGUAACUGUUCGCACGGUAAUCAAGGGAUUGUACAGGUGAUUUGACAGGAAGCGGUCAUU